AGCAAUUGGAGAAGGAGUCCAUCAAAGAUCCACAGGGCCAGUAUGCACUGUCCUACUUUCAUCAUUAACCAUGUGGCAUCGAAGCAAAGCUGAAUCACAAACCAGGAAAUAUCUGCCCUUGUAAGACUAAUCUCCAGAAGAAAGAAAAGUGAAACCUCCCAGAAUGCUCCGAUGGGAGGAGAGGGAAAGGAGAACUCAUCUCCCUAGAGAUAGAGGGGAGAAUGGAGCAAGAAGAGCUCACUCUGGAGGCCAGAUCAACUCCCAGAACAAAGAGAACUGGUGAGGAAAUGAGAAAUGAAAAGAAGCUGCAGAGGUGAUGAGUGGCUGAGCAGAGGGAAGAAGAUUGAAAUCGAUUGCCUGUAGUGGGGGCAUGCCAGUGUGCAUUGAGUGGAUUGACUCCAUACAACACAGAAAAGUCUCAGACUUUGGAACCAACAGGCACCUCUGGGAGCCAAUGUACAGACUGGAGCUGAGAACAGGACUGGUUAAAAAUCUACAUGGAGCUUUUAGACAUCUCCCACCUCUUCUACCCAUCUGUACGGUUAGUGAUCUAUCCCUUCUCAACUUCAGGCAGAAGACAAGAGGCUUACUCCCAGAAAAAGCUGAACUUGAGAGACUCUUGACUCAAACCCCAAGCACAGCUAAGGUCAGAGGCAAGGUGUCAUACAGAAAAUGGGAGAUGAAGUGAAAAUCUAUGAGGCUCUUUGAGCCCCUUUCCCAAGUCUGGAGUUAUCCCCUCCAGGCAGGAAACUGCAAGAUUCUUCUCUGGGAAAACAGAAUGGUCCGAGGAGGAGACAAGCAAAGAGCUAGGUUCCAGCUCUAUAGCAAUCUGGAAGCCAGCCAGUGCCACCCUGGCACACAGAGCUCCUCGUGGGCUUUUUAGGGCCGCACUCUUAACUAUGCAUGGACAGGCAAAGAUCUCCAAAUAUUUGAGGAAGCACUCUAACAUGAAAGACAGACCAACGCAAAGAGAAAAAAUCAGGAGAGUUGAUUGGACUUGGAAGAAAUAGAGGUCAAUGGAGUGAGCAGGAAAAAGCUUUAGGGGAAAAAAACUUUAAUAAAUAAUUUAGAAAAACAAUAAUAACAAACAAACAUCGACCUAGAGAUUAGAUUGGUGGUUACCAGAGGGGAAGCGGGGAGGGAUGAGGGUGGAAGAGGUGACAGGGCACGUGUGUACAGUGACAGAAGGUAAUUAGUCUUUGGGUGGUGAACAUAAUGUGGUCUACACAGAAACUGAAAUAUAAUGAUAUGUGCCUGAAAUUUACAUAAUGUUAUAAACCAAUGUUGCCUCAACAACAACAAAAAAGACCUCACAGCUCUGAAACAAAUAAAUAAAUACAUGACUUCAGGAAGAUGGGAUGAGACUUUAUAAAACAAAACUGGGAAACUAAAAAACAUGUUAUAUUUUAAGCACAAGGAUUUUGUUGUAUUAUCCUUUAUACCAUUUUGCAUGUCUUAAAUAUCCUUUAAUAAUUUUUUGAAAAAACAAAAUAAAAGCUAACUAGACCAAAAUUGAAAUACUUUAUUUCUAGCAAAAAAUAUAUAUUAGUUUUCACAUACUUCAACAGAACUUAUGGUAAAAGAAAAGCAAAGACAGAGCUCACAAUUCAUAUGAAAAAUGAACAAUCAGAAAAUAAAGAAGAGCUCUUGAGAUUAAAAUGCUAGCAGUAAAAAAGUCAACAGAAGAGUUUCAAGAUAAAAUCAAAUACUCUCCCAGUAAGUAGAACAAGAAGACAAAAAAUUGGAAAAUGGAAGAGAAAAGAAAGAAAAAUAAGAGAAUUAACCCAGAAUAUUCAACAUCAGGGUAAUACGAGUUCCCAAAAUAUAGAAUAGAGCUCCAGCUACCAUCUUAUUUCUUAUCUUCCCUUUUUGGCAAAAUUCCUUAAAAGAGUUGUCUACACUCACUAUUUCCAGUUCCUUCCCUCCUUCUCUCUUAACCCACUCCAAUCUGAUUUUCACCCCUGACAUUCCACUAAAACUACUUUUAACAAGAUCACCAAAAAGAAGAUCAUAUGUCAGUCUUGCUCUUACUUUGGCUUAUCAGCAGCACCUGACAGAGCAGAUCACUCCCUCCUCCUUGGAAAACUCUGCUGGGCUUGUGGAACUCCACACACGCCUACACUUCUCCUACUUUCUGGCUACUUCCUCUCAGUGUCUCCUGGUGUUUCUUACUCAAUGCCCUGAUCUCUAAAUACGGGCAGUGCCUCCAGACUCAGCCUUUGGAUGUC
Molecule: long non-coding RNA, 2228 nt
Organism: Equus caballus (horse)
Lineage: Eukaryota; Metazoa; Chordata; Mammalia; Perissodactyla; Equidae
Source: Ensembl